AAGGAGUAAAAGAGGACUCUUUCUAAAUAAGGAGGAGAUGUGAGUUACAGAUUGGGACUGGUGGGAGAAGUUGUUUACAGAGCAGGUAGCUUAGGAGAAGGGACAAGGAAGUUCAUCUCGAGAACAAAGAACCAUGAAGUCAGAAAUUAAACCUUUGAAGAGGUACUUACUGUGUCUGACAGAUUCACUGGAAAUACAGAGAACCCUGGAAAGGAGAAGAAGAAGGUGCUGGCUGAGGUGAAAAAACAGCAUCAAUCAACUUCAGGCUUCUUCAGUUCUAAGCGUAUCUGAGAGGUUCAAGAAAGAGAUAAAAGUAUGAGUGUCAACUUCAAGGACAGAUGCAGAAAAAAUGCCAAUGAGUUUCCUGUUAUAAAGCCCUUGAUAAUUAACUCCAGAGAUUAGAGGGGAGAAGUGGGUGGUGGCAAAGGGAGAGAGAACCAAGAAGGGGAUUCAGGAAUCAGAGAUGUGGAAAGGGAGAGGGUAAGGAUGGGCCACAUUAUAGGAAAGGCUGAAGGAGGAGCCAGUAAGAGUGUUGGACAGGAGCCAGAGGGAAGGUCAGGUUUGUUGUUUUGUUUGCUUUUCUUUUGCUCUCAAAGAAAGGGGAGCCUUUCCGAGCUUUGCAGCUGUCUUCUCUGGUCAUCUCCCUCCAUGGAGUGUGGGGUUCUUCUAUCAUCCAAGCUGCCCCUUCAUAGAACCUCAGUCCGGACAAUCACCAGAAUACAUUUCCCAGGUGGGGUGGAGAAGGCCAGGUUGGCUGAAUCUGGUUCCCUGUGAGGACACAGCUGCUGAGCCCAGUGAGCAGUGAGCAGAUGAUGGCUUCCCAGCCGUCAUUAUCUGCAGCCCCUCAAGGACAAGCCUAUAGCACCCAGUGCUGCCCCAGACUCAGACCUACUGAGCCCUUCAGUUUCUCCCUGCCUUUGUCUAUUUUCUUCUUCACCAAAGUUAUGACUAUGAGGGCCCCUCCUAAGCUGCAGUUGUAUUUAUUGCUCUGCACAGAAUUCCUGUACCAUGACAUACCUGUCUGGUCCAUGCUGCUAUUUUUAGCGAAGUCCUGGGAUCUUGGUCUCACUGAGGGAGAUUCUCUGAUAGACAUCAGAGUAGGGAGUCCAGUUUGGUGAAGGGGAAGCCACCAGAAAUGCACGCCUGUGAGCAGAGUUGCCUCCUUCUUCCACACUCAAGAGUGUGGUCCCUUUUCAGGCUGCCAAGUCUUGUCCUGGAAUAUCUGGGCUGUCAGGGUGGGUCUCCUCCUACUCUCAGCCCACCCACCUUCAGCAUCAAAAGGACCCUGGAGUUUUCUCACUGGACAGAAGGAGACCCAUAAGAGCCAUACUGAGCUCUUCUGUCUCUUACAUGUUGCUUAUGUACCCCUGGCUUAAACCUCACUGUGUGGGGACCGAGGAGCAUCCUUGCAUCUGGUUUUGAAAGACAUAUGAGGGCCUUCAUCCAGAGCUCUGGCUGCAGCAACCCCUGGGGAGGUCCUGAGUCUGCAGACUUGAAGAAUAAUAGAAAGAAGAAUUAGGGAAAUGAGUAGGCAUUAUUCAUUGGAAAUCGUAUAUGGUGUAUUUAGUGCUAACUAACAUGUUCACUUGAGGGUAGCUGUGUUAGAGAGACUCUGUCUUUGAGGUUCAGCUCAUAGACCUGGCAUCAGUAAGAGGAGACCAGCCCCAACACUGCCUCUUCCAAGCCUCGAAUCCUGUGAGGAGUUGGCAGAUAAACUACAGGGCACCCAGAUUUGCAGUCGUAGUCAUCUGGAUACUGUGACCAGGGAUCUUGCCAAGGAGUCUGUCCUCCAAGCACUGAAUGCCCAUCUGCAGGGGAUCCUGGCAAAUGACUUUGGAGUGUUUCACUUAUGAGCAAAAAGAGCAAAGAUGCUCAGUCUUUGAAGAUGGGAAGAAUUAAAACUUCAACUUGGUUUGACCAGAGUCUGUCCUCAGGGGGUCACCAAGGCUGAGCAGUGUCUCACAUACAGGACAAGCCUGCACACGGCCCCCUCCCAGCCCAUGGAUGUGCUUCCUGGCGGAUGCCCCAUCAGCUCUUAGGCUGAGGACAGAGAGAGGAGCAGGUCCACAGCUAAGGAACCAGGUCACCCAGAGGCUCCGGGAGCAACAACAGCUGGGACAGUGAGCCCUGGACAGAGGACACUGACUAUGGAUUUUUUAUGUGAUCCUCCUCAGGGACCCUCACAGACAAACCAAAACCCCAGUCCCUGUGUGUCUUCAGGGCGUAGGUCCUUCCAGGUCCUCUUUUAAUCACUGCUCUAGGUCCCGGGCCUCCUCCUCCUGUGACUCACAAUGGACAGCCUCCUCCUCAGGCUGCACCCUCCUUACCACAUCUGACCCCACACCCGUCUCCUCAUUCCCCCAUAAACCAUCCCCUGCUCACUUCCAUUAGCACUUUUGCAUCAUUCUGGGAUCACAGCCUCCCCAAGGAUGUCUCUGCAGGAUAUCCAUGUUGCAGAGAGCUCAGCCCCUUGACAGGACCGCUGUGCCUGGGCCACCUAAGGCUGAGCAUCUCUCUUGCUUCUUUUCUACACCAGCUCCAGGCCAAGGCAUAUCUAGACCUUUCAGAAUGCUGAGCCCAUGUUUUCUUAAACAUCAGACUUCCUGUGUCACAUUUGGGUCUCUGGGUCACGCAGGCUGGAUUCUUCAUUCUUGUCAUCUCUCCCACAGUUUCCCAGCUCAGGAAAUGGUCAGCACACCUGCACCAAGAGGAGGAAAAACCCACUCACUGUCAGUAUAGAUGUUAGUGGGCUCAGAGGGGAACAUUUGUAAGGCUUGGCACACGGCAAAAAGUUCAACUCGCUGUGGAGAAGAAUAAGUAGUGGGAAACCGAAAAGGACGGUUGUCAGCGAUGACGGCUGCAACACCUGUUUUCGAACCAUCAGUGAACAAAACGUGAGCAUGGGCCAAUGGCUGAUGAGAAUGAUGAAGAGGAAGAACAAAUGAGUUGCAGGGUAGGUCUCUCGGCAUCAACAGCCUGCAACCAAUAGACAUCAGGGGAACCGAAACUGCGGCUGCCGCGCGCAGAAGAGGAAGCUGUUUGCCCUACUUGAGAAACAUAGGGUGCGGCCUCCGCAGUCUGUCCUGUACUAACCACUAACUGUGAAAAGCCAUUCUCAGCGCUUCACUGAUCUACUAAGAACAGGAAGAUACCCAACGACAGGAUCUUCAGUGGUCAGGUCCUUGACCAUGCCACCUACUCCCCUGUCUGCAGGUCUUGCCAGUGCAUGGGAACAACUCUGCUUUGGCUCCCCACACCCAGGACUGAGCCAGGUCAGCACUAUAUCUGGAAUUCCCUGACCUGCGUCCUCAGGCAGCAUUUCAUAUUUGAGUGCCUUGUUGCUGGGACGCAGUGAGUCUCAGACAGCCCUGAGAACAGACUACUGGGGAUGGAAGGGAGGUCUCUGCUUGUACGCUAGAAAAGCAGAGUCCAUGCCGCAGGGGACUGUUCACCUGCUACGAUGUCCCCAGGUUCUGACCAUCAUGUGAGCUAGGAAAGACUCAUUUUGCUUCUUUGAAGAAAAAAUGUCCAGCUCCACAGGCAGUGGUGUUAGCACAUGUGGACAAGCAGCCAAGACUUCGGUGUCAUCAGAUGUUUUGGUUUUGUUUUGUUUUGCUGAGACUUCAGAAGAAUGGAUGGGAAAUUGAGAGAAGAGCCUUUUACAACUAGAAAGUACUUCCAAAUGUAGUUUGUGCCCAGGCCAGUUAUUUCAAAAUUUAAAAAUUGUCACAGAACAAGACCUAGAGCAGGGUGAGGUUUUCGUCCCACUUCCCCAUCUGUGUGUGUCACUGUGAGAAGCAUUGCUUGGCCAAAUCAUACAGUAAUAGUCAGCCUCAUCCUCAGACUGGAGCCCGGAGAUGAGUAAAAUCCCUGCAUUGGCCGAGGCAUCUUUGGAUCCAGAGAAGCGGCUGGGGACUCCAGAGCCCUGGUGCUUAUCUGAGUCUGAGUAAUAGUACAGGAGAUACCUGGGAGGGCUCCUUGGCUUCAGCUGGUACCAGUAUAUGUUGCAGCUACCAACAUUGAUGUCACUGGGCAAGGUGCAGGUGAGUCUGGCGGAUUCUCCAGGAGAUGCGGAGAAGGAAGGUGGCUGAGUCAGCACAGGCUGCGAGAGGGAACCUGCAAACACAGACACUCGUGGUUGAUGGGCAGGGUUCAGGGUGAAGUUUUUCAGGGAUCUUUACCAGAAGAGCCAGAAUCAGGCUGAGGUGCUGACCCUGGUCUCUGAGGCCUGUCCCUACCUAUGCAGUGAGAGAGGAGCAGGAGGAGGAGAGGAGUCCCGGCCAUGGUGGAUGCAGCCUGACAUGCACAGUGGGACUGGGCUGCCCCAGGCCUCCUUUUCUUCCCACGCUCUGCAGAGGAGGGGCGGCUCAUGCAAAUGUGUUUCCAUCCAGCAACUGCCCAGCCCCUCUCUAAGCUCUGGGGCUGAAGCUUAGCUCACACUGCAGACUGAGGAGGAAGAAGUUUUGCUUUUCCCCUUGAGAGGGCUCCAGAAGAAAGCACCUGCUGAAACCACACACACCUUCCUGCUCAGGAGACUCUGCCAUGCCAUGGGAGGGCAUAGACGCUAAGUCCCCAUCAGUAAGCACAAGGUCUUAGCCCCUAGUCUUGGAUUUCUUUGAGUGAAUGGUCCUUUCUGAGCAGCUGUGUAGGGACCAUAGGGCAGUCCCCCAGCAUCCCAUGCUGAUUAGAGGACACUUACCUCCUGAUGGCCCUGCUGAUCUCUGCAGCCCAUUAGUCACUGUCUCUAUUCACACCUCUAUGGUCUGAUUGCUAGACACUAAUUCCAUAAGGCUAUGCAUGAUUAUUGUGAUUUCUCACUCCCAGAAUGAGUCUUGGUCCAUGAGAUGUAGACAUGUACAUAUAUAACUUUUAAAAUCUAGAAAAAUCUAACUGCCUACAUGUGCCAUCAGGGCAGGCAUCAUGGAGAAGGGGUCAGCUGAGGAGCUAGGUUGAAGGGCAGUUAGGGGCUGCUCAAAAGAAUGGUGAAUAAUGAGAAUUUUGCAAGAAAAAUAAAUGAUCCAUGACAUGUUAAAGUAGCAAUUCAACAAAAGUUACCUCUACAGUGGUUUCAUACAUUUUAUAGAGUUUUUACUCAAUAUAGUGAUAUAGGGAAAUGAAUAGCAUUGGUAAACUUACCAGUGAGUAGUGUGACAUAUUUCUCAUUUUAUAAAGUCAACCAUUAUCUCCCUAAGUAAAACUUGUUGUUUUCUGCACA
Long non-coding RNA from Symphalangus syndactylus (siamang), 5215 nucleotides. RefSeq lists it as uncharacterized. Lineage: Eukaryota; Metazoa; Chordata; Mammalia; Primates; Hylobatidae. The record is from RefSeq and is a predicted model, not a curated record.